Long non-coding RNA from Erpetoichthys calabaricus (reedfish), 1635 nucleotides. RefSeq lists it as uncharacterized. The record is from RefSeq and is a predicted model, not a curated record. The transcript is spliced from 5 exons. Lineage: Eukaryota; Metazoa; Chordata; Cladistia; Polypteriformes; Polypteridae.
UCCGAUUUGUCUUGCCCACGCACUCUCUGCUUAAUUAAAAUUCAUUUCACGACGCUGCCCGAUUUGUUCUGCGCAUGUCUAAUGUUUUACGACACACGUCAUUCGUCAGGUUUGACUUGUACUUGCGAGUCAUUUUUGUGUUGUCGUUUAUCUCCGUCUGUAAGUGGAAUUGUUACUGGAAAAGAUGGAAACUUUUGAAUUUUAUAACGUCUUGGAAGAUGUGUCGCCUGAAAAAUUUAACUCCAGCCGAAUGAAGAGGGAGCGAAAUGAAAUGUGACGUGUGUCUGUGAACUUUAUAAUGGACAUGUACAGCUUUUUGAUGCCCAGUGGUAACCAGCCUACCAUGUGGCUCAACAGAUGGCAGUGUACCCGAAUACUGAGACACAAUUGGAUGUUCUUUUCUUCUGCUUUUAAGAUUCCCAGUUUGGGAUGAUGUGCAGUUCAUGUUAGAUUUGCUAUUUCUACAGUUACAGUGAAGUAGAAGAGUCCAGUCAUGUUAUGGGGCAGCAGUUGAAGAAGAAGGAUGUUGAGAUGUGUGCCAUGUUGAAGUAUCGGCUGGUCCUCCUGCCCGCUCUUCUGGAAUCCUCCAUCUAAACCUCUGCUCUGAACUGCUGUGCCUUUGCCAAGUGAUCACGAGAUCAACCAUAAAAACCAGCAGCUUUCUGUACUCGUGCAACAAAAUCUGGAAUGCUUUGCCAAUAGAGAAGUGCCAGGCUACAAAUGUCAAGCAUUUCGAAAAACUUCAACAAGCCCAUUUUUCUAAUUUGGCUUUUUCUUAAUUACUUGCAUUGGUUGUAAUAGAUUAGAAAUGGUACUGUGUACACUUUGUAAGCUCUGCACUGGGCACUAAGUUCUGCUGUUUUUCUCUGUUGUUUUUUUCUAGUUUAUUGCAGUGGUGCCCCCCUGCGUCUCCACCGUCUGUUACAUCGACUCCAACUGCCUGUGACAGAAGAAAGGUUCACAAGACGUCCUGAAAUGGCAUUGUGAUUGGAGUAAGACGGCCACAAUCAUGUAUGCUGGGAUGUGCAGAGGGGGCUGUUUGGGCUUUGGCUUGGGACCCCCAGAGGUUUAUUAUCUCCAGUAUCCUUGAAGGCUGCAAGUUUGUCUUUGUCCCCACCAUUUGACCAGGCAGUGUAUUUAUUACAAAGGACAAGGACCCCUCCAUUUGAUUCUUAUUUACUUUUAUAAUAUCUUCAGUUUUCUUUGUAACUGUAUAUCUUUGUGGAGCAAUUUGAGCAACACUUGUAAGCAAAGGUGAUAUAAAAAUAUUAUCAGUGAACAAAUAUUAAAGGACAGAUAAGGAAAAAUGUCAGUUUAAAUAGAACACAUUUUUUAUGGAAUAUUGCUGGAUAACAACUCUUUGACUCUGAGUAGCAUCUUGUUCAUAAAGCUAAAAUAGCAUUUUUCCUUUUUUAACAAAUUUAAUGAUUCACUUUUAUUGUGUUCAAAACCUUGACUAACAUUUUUUUUAAAUACUAAGGUAAAAAUCUGUAAAUAUAUUUGUGUUCUCCUUCCCUAAUAGUUUUUAACACCUCCCCUAGUUGGCCAUUUUCAUUGUAGUUGUGUUCUAGUUAAAUGCAUUUACCAUUUAUACAUCUUUAUGAUUACUGAAUUUUAACUCAUAAUAUAUUUACA